Molecule: non-coding RNA, 206 nt
Organism: Pelobates cultripes (western spadefoot toad)
Lineage: Eukaryota; Metazoa; Chordata; Amphibia; Anura; Pelobatidae
Source: the annotation of a GenBank genome assembly
AAGGCUGCAGGGAGACAUGGGGACACUGAGACACUAGGGGACACUGUGAGACAUGGGGACACAGGGAGACCUCUGGGGAUGCUGAGACACUUGGGGACACUUGGAGACAUGGGGACACAAACACAUGGGGACACUGAGACACUAGGGGACACUGUGAGACAUGGGGACACAGGGAGACAUGGAGACACAGACACACAUGGGAAAAC